AUUGAACGCUGGCGGCAUGCCUUACACAUGCAAGUCGAACGGCAGCACGGGAGCAAUCCUGGUGGCGAGUGGCGAACGGGUGAGUAAUAUAUCGGAACGUGCCCAGUCGUGGGGGAUAACGCAGCGAAAGUUGUGCUAAUACCGCAUACGAUCUAUGGAUGAAAGCGGGGGAUCGCAAGACCUCGCGCGAUUGGAGCGGCCGAUAUCAGAUUAGGUUGUUGGUGAGGUAAAAGCUCACCAAGCCUGCGAUCUGUAGCUGGUCUGAGAGGACGACCAGCCACACUGGAACUGAGACACGGUCCAGACUCCUACGGGAGGCAGCAGUGGGGAAUUUUGGACAAUGGACGAAAGUCUGAUCCAGCAAUGCCGCGUGCAGGACGAAGGCCUCGGUUGUAACUAGCUUUGUACAGACGAAAAGUACUUAAUAACACUAGAGGCGUCAUGACGGUACUGUAAGAAUAAGACACCGGCUAACUACG
This 479-nucleotide ribosomal RNA is filed under the name uncultured bacterium. Its description in RNAcentral is "bacterial SSU rRNA". It matches the Rfam family "Bacterial small subunit ribosomal RNA", at positions 30 to 505 of the family's 1533-position model. The record is from RNAcentral.